CCACGGUGGCAGCAGUAAGGAAUAUUGCUCAAUGGCCGAAAGGCUGAAGCAGCAACGCCGCGUGUGCGAUGAAGGCCUUCGGGUUGUAAAGCACUUUUUGAGGGGAUGAGGAAGGACAGUACCCUCAGAAUAAGUCUCGGCUAACUACGUGCCAGCAGCCGCGGUAAAACGUAGGAGGCGAGCGUUAUCCGGAUUUACUGGGCGUAAAGCGCGUGCAGGCGGCUCGAAAAGUUGGAUGUGAAAGCUCCUGGCUUAACUGGGAGAGGUCGUUCAAUACUUUCGGGCUUGAGGAUGGGAGAGGGAGGUGGAAUUCCGGGUGUAGUGGUGAAAUGCGUAGAUAUCCGGAGGAACACCAGUGGCGAAGGCGGCCUCCUGGCCCAUUUCUGACGCUCAGACGCGAAAGCUAGGGUAGCAAACG
This 418-nucleotide ribosomal RNA is filed under the name uncultured prokaryote. RNAcentral's name for it is "bacterial SSU rRNA". It matches the Rfam family "Bacterial small subunit ribosomal RNA", at positions 339 to 774 of the family's 1533-position model. The record is from RNAcentral.